Non-coding RNA from Aphanomyces astaci, 79 nucleotides. The record is from the annotation of a RefSeq genome assembly. NCBI's taxonomy places the organism in Eukaryota, Oomycota, Saprolegniomycetes, Saprolegniales, Verrucalvaceae.
GACGCGAUAGCGUAGUGGUUAACAUGUAAACACGUUGUGUGUCUUGAGUGAGCCGCGGGUUCAAGUCCCGGGCGCGUCG